This 590-nucleotide ribosomal RNA is filed under the name Mycoplasma wenyonii. RNAcentral describes it as "bacterial SSU rRNA". It matches the Rfam family "Bacterial small subunit ribosomal RNA", at positions 340 to 928 of the family's 1533-position model. Lineage: Bacteria; Bacillati; Mycoplasmatota; Mollicutes; Mycoplasmatales; Mycoplasmataceae. The record is from RNAcentral.
UACGGGAAGCAGCAGUGAGGAAUUUUUCACAAUGGACGAAAGUCUGAUGGAGCAAUACCACGUGAACGAUGAAGGUCUUCUGAUUGUAAAGUUCUUUUAUUUAGGAAAAAAAGCGUGCUAGGAAAUGAGCGCGCCUUGAUGGUACUAAUUGAAUAAGUGACAGCUAACUAUGUGCCAGCAGCUGCGGUAAAACAUAGGUCACGAGCAUUAUCCGGAUUUAUUGGGCGUAAAGGAAGCGUAGGCGGGGAGGUUGAUCCAUUGUUAAAAGCAUUUGCUUAACAAAUGUGUGCAUUGGAGAUCGCCUCCCUAGAGUUAAUCAGGGGGUACUGGAAUUCAAUGUGUAGCGGUGGAAUGCGUAGAUAUAUUGAGGAACACCAGAGGCUAAGGCGAGUGCCUAGGAUAUAACUGACGCUGAGGCUUGAAAGCGUGGGGAGCAAAUGGGAUUAGAUACCCCAGUAGUCCACGCCGUAAACGAUGAGCAUUGGGCAUUUGACAUCUGGUCGAGUGCUGUAGCUAACGCGUUAAAUGCUCCGCCUGGGUAGUAUAUAUGCAAAUAUGAAACUCAAAGAAAUUGACGGGGACCUGAACAA